This 373-nucleotide unclassified non-coding RNA is filed under the name Hevea brasiliensis (rubber tree). Lineage: Eukaryota; Viridiplantae; Streptophyta; Magnoliopsida; Malpighiales; Euphorbiaceae. The record is from RNAcentral.
GUUUUUACAGUAAGGUCACAUAUGGAAGUAAUUCAAGAAGUUGAGAUGAGUAGUGAAGAAUUUGUGGAAGAUGAAUCAACAUCAGGGAAAAGAGAUACAACAAAGAUGAAUCCUAUGGGUUUUAGACCUGCUCCAGUAGAGAUUCUGGACAAUGUAAAAAUCAAUAUUGAACCUGCAACACCUAUGUCGACUUUGAAAAAUGUGAUCAAGUCUGCGAAAUCUGACCUAUCAUUCAGCAGACAAGAGCUUAGAAAAGCUGAAGAACAAAUAAGAAUGGCUUUUGUUGAGUUUUACCAAAAGCUUCGACUUUUAAAAAACUACAGUUUCUUAAAUGUGUUGGCAUUUUCUAAGAUCAUGAAGAAGUAUGAUAAGA